GGGUCAGUAGGUUGGUCGUGCCACCGGUACGUACUGGUCUCACUGAUUCCUCCUUCCUGAAGAACCGUAAUGUCAUUAAUUUGGUGUUGCGGGGAAACAGGACUGUUACUUUGAAAAAAUUAGAGUGUUUAAAGCAAGCUAACGCUUGAAUACAUUAGCAUGGAAUAAUGAAAUAGGACGAUCGAUCCUAUUUUGUUGGUUUCUAGGAUUGACGUA
Molecule: ribosomal RNA, 216 nt
Filed under: Glomeromycotina sp.
Lineage: Eukaryota; Fungi; Glomeromycota
Description: partial small subunit ribosomal RNA
Rfam family: Eukaryotic small subunit ribosomal RNA (bases 40-216)
Source: RNAcentral